Molecule: long non-coding RNA, 6205 nt
Organism: Leucoraja erinaceus (little skate)
Lineage: Eukaryota; Metazoa; Chordata; Chondrichthyes; Rajiformes; Rajidae
Exons: 3
Source: RefSeq, a predicted model, not a curated record
UCGCCUGCUAUAAAAUAAUUGCUUAUUAAAAAUGGAUAUCUGAGCCGAAUACCAAACUCCACGGUCUGGCUGCGGCGAAUAUGUGGUAGUAGAAUCCCUGAACAGCAGCCGCUUCGAAAUGUAUUUACCUCAAUAAAGCCUUUUCAAUACGACCCAGUCUUUCCACCGGCGAGUAAGGAAUUAGUUGCACUGGCGGCCGCUCGUUUAGGCUCCCUAUUCUGCCGGAGACCGCUCGCAAAUGACGAGGGGGCAUUUUAUAGACAUUUUGAGAUGUGGGUAUGCGGAAUAAUUACAUUUGACAUCGGAACAGCGGCUCCACAAUCCGGCUAUUGGCUUGAAAUUCCAUUAAAUACAACGAGAGAUCCUAGGUUAAGAUUGAUUUAAAUUAGCAUACAUUUUCAUAUGUUUAUGGGGAAAAUAAAGAGACGGCGAGAGCAGCUGGGAGUCAUUUCCAGCCGCACUUGCACCAAAUUCAGUUGCGAGGAUGGCAUUUCGAGGGAUCUCUAGCGGGCCGGCGAAGAGCGAAACUCGUAGCAUUAACGAGCCCUCUCUCCCUCGACCGCGGAAUGGUUCAACGUUGAUGAGGCAGACGGUGGCUGGUGUACCGUCGCCAUUCCGGGCUGAUGAGCGUCAGGAGAAGGCUAAUGUCCCGGCAAGACUACCGUGAUGCUGCCUGAGUCGCGGAGUAUUUCCAAUAUUUCAAUAACUUCAAAUUGCUGAGCGUGCAUCUAUCCGAAGAUCUUUCCUGGACCCAGCACACCGAUGCAAUCAUAAAGAAGGCACAUCAGUGACUCUACUUCCUGAGAAGAUUACGGAGAUUCGGCAUGUCGAAGAGGAUUCUCCUAAACCUCUACAGAUGCAUGUUAGAGAGCAUUCUGACCGGCUGCAUCGUGGCCUGGUUCGGCAACUUGAACGUCCAGGAGCAGAAAAGACUACAAAAAGUUGUGACCACUGCCCAGUCCAUCACCAGCUUUGACCUCCCCACCGUCGAAGGGAUCUAUCACAGUCGCUGCCUCAAAAAGGCAGCAAACAUCAUCAAGGACCCACACCAUCCUGGCCACAUACUUAUCCCACCACUGCCAUCAGGAAGAAGGCACAGGAGCCUGAAGACUAUAAUGUCCAGGUUCAGGAACAGCUUCUUUCCCACAGCCAUCAGGUUAUUAAACACGUCAAUGAAUAAGCUCUGAGCUCUGAACUGCAAAAGACCAUAUUAUUAUUUGUUAUUUGCAUUAUAUUUGUUAUUUAUUGAACUUUUUCUUUUUUUUCCCCGUUAUAUACAAUGUUUAUAUAUUCACAUAUUCUGUUGUGCUGCAGCAAGUAGGAAUUUCAUUGUCUCGUCCGGGACAUAUGACAAUAAAACACACUUGACUUGACUCUUGACUAUUCCUUUUACCUAUAUUAGAUGUCCAGCAGCUCUUUGAUUUUCAAGUAAGAGUGUAGUUCCGAUCUUCCAACCUACCUCAUCGCACUUUUUUUUAAAUUUGCAGUUUCUCGGGAAUUGUAACCCCAUAACUCUGUAACACUAGACUCUGGUCCCUGGUUAUUUUUUCCUUUGCAUUACCUGGUGUACAAACGCAUGGGUUUAUUGUACGCAAUGAUAUGACUAGUUAGCACUUAUACAAAGUUUUCACUGUAUAUUGGAGUAUGUACAGCAAUCAAAAUAACCCUGGCUGGUUUGUUAUUUCAUGAACCUAGAUUCACCACCUUGUUAGUUUAGUUUAGUGUAUAGAUACAGCACGGAAACAGGCCCUUUGGCCCACCGAGUCCGCACGGGCCAGUGAUCCCUGCACACUAACACUAUCUCACACACCCUGGGGACAAUUUACACAUACAACAAGUCUAACAACCUACAAACUUGUUUGUGUUGUGGAGUGUGGGAGGAAUCCGAAGAUCUCGGAGAAAAACCCAUGCAGUUCGCGGAGAGAACGUGCAAACUCCUCACAGACAGUACCCAGGAACGAAGGAGAUUACAAAAAGCGGUGAACACUGCCCGGUCCAUCAUGGGUACUGACUUCCCCACCAUCAAAGGGAUCGACAUGAGUCGCUGCCUCAAAAAGGCAGCCAGCAUCAUCAGAGACCCUCACCACCCUGGCCACGAUCUAAUUUCACCCCUGCCAUCGGGAAGAAGGUACAGGAGCCGGAAAACCAGGUACAGGAACAACUUCUUCCCAUCAGGCUGUGGAACACUGCAAACGCUAAAUGAUGAGCUAUGGACUGUGUUGGUUCCACUAAGGACUUUUGCAAUAAUAUUGGGUUUUUUAAUGAGUUUGAUAUAUUUUGUUUAUGAUGUUAUCUAUGAGUCCUGUGUUUACUGGAAGUACGUAUUUAAUCCGCAAGUACGUGCUGCUGGGGUUAUGGAGUUAUGAGGUUACAGUUCCCGAGAAACUGCAGAUUGUAAAAAAAAGUGCGAUGAGGUAGGUUGGAAGAUCGGAACUACACUCUUACUUGAAAAUCAAAGAGCUGCUGGAUUUAAUCGAUCAGUUUUUGUUACAUAUGACAAUUAAACAUUCUUGAAGUACGUUUCAACGUGGCCCUGCUUCUAAGCUUGAGUGAACACAGGGCUAGAUGCCGUUAAUCCUUCUCAAGAGUGGUCUGAAGAGGGCCCUGACCUGAAUUGUCACCAGUCCAUUCUCUCCAGAGAGGUGGCAUGGUGGCGCAGCGGAAGAGUUGCUGCCUCACAGCGCCAGAGAUCAGGGUUCGAUCCCGACUACGGGUGCUGUCUGUACAGAGUUUGUAUGUUCCCCCCGUGACCUGCGUGGGUUUUCUCCGAGAUCUUCGGUUCCAUCCCAUGUUUCAAAGACGUACAGGUUUGUAAGUUAACUGGCUUGGUAUAAAUGUAAAUUGUCCCUAUUGUGUGCAGGAUAGUGUGCAGGGAUCGCUGGUCGGCGCGGACUCGGUGGGCCGAAGGGCCUGUUUCCGCGCUGUUUCCCUAAACUAAACUAAGAUGCUGCCAGACCCGCUGAGUUACUCCAGCAGUAUGUGUCCAUCUUCUGUUUGAACCAGCAUCUGCAGUUCCUUCCUCCACACAAGGCCCUGCUGAAGUCUGGUGAACCUUAGCUGCACUUCCUCAAUGGAAAGUAUGAACAUUUAGAGGCUGUGAAUGAAAGGUUAAAUCCCAAUAUCACACCCCAUAAAAGGAGCAAUUUUCCUAAGCGCCCCCAUUAGAUUCAUGGAACGCCUGGUAGCAGAUCUGGUCUUUGUUAGGAGACAGCGCAGAAACGGAGAUCUCGGCUUAUAUAUGGUAAACUGCUAAUUUGACUGUGGGAAGGAUAUUAAAACAAAAGUUAAUUUUAGUUACUUGGAAGGCAGCCAAAGCAACAGUAUUACCUUGACCUGCCGAUUAUUGGAUGGUCUGUGUAGACUGAACCGUUGCCCUAAUUACUGCCAAGGUGAUUGAGAUUGACCAGUUGUCACCCAACAUCUCGUUUGUGUCUCAUUGGGAUUAUCGGAGCAGCAUGAAGGAACCGUUGGCUCCCACACGCAUCACGCCCAGAGUCGGGGAAUCUGGGGACCAGAGGACAUGGGUUUAAGGUGAACGGGAAAUGAUUCAAUUGGAAUCUGAGGAUUGGUAGCUUUUUAACACAGAGGGUGGUGGGUGUAUGGAACAAGCUGCCAGAGGAGGUAGUUGAGGCAGGGACUAUCCCAACGUUUGGGUUGCACGGUGGCGCAGCGGUAGAGUUGCUGCCUUACAGCGCUUGCAGCACCGGAGACCCGGGUUCGAUCCCGACUACGGGCGCUGUCUGUGCGGAGUUUGUACGUUCUCCCGUGUGACCUGCGUGGGUUUUCUCCGAGAUCUUCAGUUUCCUCCCACACUACAUAGAAGUGCAGGUAUGUAGGUUAAUUGGCUUGGUAUAAAUAUAAAUUGUCCCCCGUGUGAUUAGGGUGGUGUUAAUGUGCGGGGAUCGCUGGUUGGUAUGGACACGGUGGGCCGAAGGGCCUGUUUCUGCGCUGUAUCUCUAAGCUAAACAAAACGUUUAAGAACCGUUAGACAGGCACAUGGAUAGGACAGGUUUGACAAUAGACAAUAGACAAUAGGUGCAGGAGUAGGCUAUUCAGCCCUUCGAGCCAGCGCCGCCAUUCAAUGUGAUCAUGGCUGAUCAUCCCCAAUCAGUACCCCGUUCCUGCCUUCUCCCCAUAUCCCCUGACUACGCUAUUUUUAAGAGCCCUAUCUAGCUCUCUCUUGAAAGCAUCCAGAGAACCGGCCUCCACCGUCCUCUGAGGCAGAAAAUUCCACAGACUCACAACUCUCUGUGAAAAAGUGUUUCCUCGUCUCCAUUCUAAAUGGCUUACCCCUUAUUCAUAAACUGUGGCCCCUGGUUCUGGACUCCCCCAACAUCGGGAACAUGUUUCCUGCCUCUAGCAUGUCCAAACCCUUUAUAAUCUUAUAUUAGGGGGAGAUAUGGACCAAAUGGAGGUAGGUGGGACUAGUGUAGCUGGGACGUGGUGGCCAGCAUGGGAAGAUGGGCUGAAGGGCCUGUUUCCCCGCUGUAUCACUCUAUGACUCUCCGAAAUCAUUGCCAUGGAGACUGUUUUCUUCCAGGGUUUCUGACAGCCAUGUAAUAGGAUUACAGUUUAACUUCAAUGACUAAUAUAUUUGCGUUUGAGUUUAGUUUAUUGUCACGUGUACAGUGAAAAGGUUUUUGUCGUGUGUCAACUGUUCAGGUUGUUUACUUGUUAUGUGGAAAAGUUCGCUUCCAAGAUGGCGUCCAGCCCAGGCGACUACCAGCGCGCUGGCCGCAGAAACAGGUCUACAAUCACAUAUUACAAUCGCCCCACACAUUUAAAUAUUCCCUUAUCACACAUCUGUACACAAAUCUGCUGGGGAAACUCAGCGGGUGAGGCAGCAUCUACGGAGCGAAGGAAUGGGUGACGUUUCGGGUCGAGACACUUCUUGCGUGGACCCUUUCCACAGCCACCCAUGCAUCUGUACACUGUCAAUGGCUCGAUUGUAAUCGCGUAUCAUCUUUCCGCUGACUGGUUACAUAGAAACAUAGGAACAUAGAAAAAUAGGUGCAAGAGUAGGCCAUUCGGCCUUUCAAGCCUGCACCGCCAUUUAAUAUGAUCAUGGCUGAUCAUCCAACUCAGUAUCCCGUCCCUGCCUUCUCUCCAUACCCCCCUGAUCCCUUUAGCCACAAGGGCCACAUCUAACUCCCUCUUAAAUAUAGCCAAUGAACUGGCCUCAACUACAUUCUGUGGCAGAGAAUUCCAGAGAUUCACCACUCUCUGUGUGAAAAAUGGGGUUAUGGAGUUUUCUCAUCUCGGUCCUAAAAGAUUUCCCCUUUUUCUUUAAACUGUGACCCCUUGUUCUGGACUUCCCCAACAUCGGGAACAAUCUUCCUGCAUCUAGCCUGUCCAACCCCUUAAGAAUUUUGUACAUUUCUAUAAGAUCCCCCUUCAAUCUUCUAAAUUCUAGCGAGUACAAGCCGAGUCUAUCCAGUCUUUCUUCAUGUGAAAGUCCUGACAUCCCAGGAAUCAGUCUGGUGAACCUUCUCUGUACUCCCUCGAUGGCAAGAAUGUCCUUCCUCAGAUUAGUGGUUAGCACGCAACAAAAAAGCUUUUCACUGUACCUUGGUACACGUGACAAUAAACUAAACUGUUUAUUAUUGUUGAUAUUAUUAUCAUUGAACUAACCAGUCAGCAGAAAUUGGCCUGAAUUUGAUAAUUACUUUCUGCAUAUCUUCCAUUCAUUUGUCCUAAGCACCAUAUACAUCUCCCAAUGCCGUGUACUCUGACUCUCGGUCUGAAGUAGGGGCCCAACCAGAAACGUUGCCUAUUCUCCAGAGAUGCUGCCUGACUCGCUGAGUUACUCCAGCUCUUUGUGUCCAUCAGCGGAAAGACAAUACAUGAUUACAAUCGAGCCGUCCACAGAUACAUGAUAAAGGGAAUAACGUUUAGUGCAAGAUAAAGCCCAGUAGGUCUGAUCAAAGAUAGUCCAAGGGUCUCCGAUGGGGUAGAUAGUAGCUCAGGACUGUUCUCUAGUUGGUUCAGCUACGUGAUAUACUGUACCUGAUACUGUGGCCGUUAAAGCCCUGUCCCACUGUACGAGUUCAUUCCAAGAGCUCUCCCCGAGUUUGCCCUGAUUCGAACUCGGAGAUUUACGGUAAUGGCCGCUCGUCGGUACUCGGGGCUCUCGUGGACAUUUUUCAACAUGUUGAAAAAUCCUCACGAGUCUUCCCGAGCUUACCUGCCGUUAGCGAGUCUUCCC